Molecule: ribosomal RNA, 1325 nt
Filed under: Antarctoperla michaelseni
Lineage: Eukaryota; Metazoa; Arthropoda; Insecta; Plecoptera; Gripopterygidae
Description: 16S ribosomal RNA
Rfam family: Bacterial large subunit ribosomal RNA (bases 885-1242)
Source: RNAcentral
AAAUUUAAAUAUUACUUAUAGAAUUUGGUUAAAAGAUUUUUUAAUAAAAUCAUUUUUUUUUAUAUUAGUUUUUGUAUAGGAUAUAGAAAAAAUUUUUUGAGUGGUAGAUUAAUUGUAUUGUGAAAGAUUUAUGAAAUAUUUUGAAAAAUUAAUUUUAAUAAAGUAGAUUUAAUUUAUUGUACCUUGUGUAUCAGGGUUUAUCAAAAUUAUGUAAAGAAUUUAUGUUUCCCGAUUUGAAGAGAGCUAAUUAGGUAUGAUAGUUACUGUGGAAUAAUUAUUAUAAAUAACUAAUUAGUAAUGAAACGUUAUCCGUUCUUUAAGAUAUCUGGUUUCUUAAGAAAUGAAUUAAAUUCAGAUAUAAUUGGAGUAAUUAAAUUUAAAGUUUUUUACUUAUUUUUAUAUUAAUAUUUCUGGGGAUAAGCUUAGAAAUAUAUUUUAAAAUGAAUUGUAAUUACGAAGUUUUGUAGGUUUAGAAUUCGCCAUCAGUUUAAGGAUGUUAUAAUUUAGCUUUGUGUGAAAAUAAUUUUCUUGUAUUUAAAUUUUUUAUUAAGAUUUUAUUUUUAAUUUUAAAAAAUUAGUAGUACUGAUAAAAUUAGUAUAAAAAAUUGUUUAAUUAUAAAUAAUUCGAAAGGUUAUAUAAAGGAAUUCGGCAAAUUAAUGCUCGCCUGUUUAACAAAAACAUGUCUUCUUGAUUUAUAAUUUGAAGUCUGACCUGCCCACUGAGAUUAACUUAAAGGGCCGCGGUAUUUUGACCGUGCAAAGGUAGCAUAAUCAUUAGUCUUUUAAUUGGAGGCUAGAAUGAAUGGUUGGACGAGGUAUUGACUGUCUCUGUAUAAAUGAGUUUAGAAUUUAACUUUUAAGUGAAAAGGCUUAAAUAUUUUUAGAGGACGAGAAGACCCCAUAGAGCUUUAUAAUAAGUUUUUUAUAAUUUGUUUAGUGGUUUUUUUAUUAUAUUAAAUUAAUUAUUUUGUUGGGGUGACAGGAAGAUAUAAUAAACUCUUUUUAUUAAUGAAACAUUGAUUUAUGAAUUAUUGAUCCAUUUUUAAUGAUUAAAAGUCUAAGUUACCUUGGGGAUAACAGCGUAAUCUUUUUCGAGAGUUCUUAUCGACAAAAAGGGUUGCGACCUCGAUGUUGGAUUAAGGGUAAUUUUGGGUGUAGAUGUUCAAAGUUUAGGUCUGUUCGACCUUUAAAUCCUUACAUGAUCUGAGUUCAGACCGGUGUAAGCCAGGUCGGUUUCUAUCCUUAAUAAAUUAUGAUGUUUUAGUACGAAAGGACCAAGCAUUGAGAAUAAUAUUCUAUAUAUUAGAUUAAUAUUAAAUAAUAAU